GACGAACGCUGGCGGCGUGCUUAACACAUGCAAGUCGAACGGAAAGGCCCUGCUUGCAGGGUACUCGAGUGGCGAACGGGUGAGUAACACGUGGGUGAUCUGCCCUGCACUUCGGGAUAAGCCUGGGAAACUGGGUCUAAUACCGGAUAGGAGCCAUUUUUAGUGUGAUGGUUGGAAAGUUUUUUCGGUGUAGGAUGGGCUCGCGGCCUAUCAGCUUGUUGGUGGGGUAAUGGCCUACCAAGGCGGCGACGGGUAGCCGGCCUGAGAGGGUGGACGGCCACAUUGGGACUGAGAUACGGCCCAGACUCCUACGGGAGGCAGCAGUGGGGAAUAUUGCACAAUGGGCGCAAGCCUGAUGCAGCGACGCCGCGUGGGGGAUGACGGCCUUCGGGUUGUAAACUCCGUUCGCUAGGGACGAAGCUUUUUGUGACGGUACCUAGAUAAGAAGCACCGGCUAACUACGUG
This 465-nucleotide ribosomal RNA is filed under the name uncultured bacterium. Its description in RNAcentral is "partial 16S ribosomal RNA". It matches the Rfam family "Bacterial small subunit ribosomal RNA", at positions 28 to 507 of the family's 1533-position model. The record is from RNAcentral.